UUUUUAUUUAAAUACAUUUAUUUGAACCGGCCUGGGGGAGGCUUGAUGUUGAUGGGUUGGUGAUUAAAGCCUCCCAAAGCCAAUCCUUGGCAUGGCCUUUGGGACUCAAAACACAGUAUCUGACUUGUGGGGCACAAUACCAUCUUGAACGCCCAAAAAAAGGUUUGGUUUUGUUGCCAAAGGGCAGGUGGCUCCCGGCAGGGCUGAUGGUGGCAGGUGGGGGUGAGGAGCCUGCGGUGCUCCCCAGAAAAGGGGAAGGGGCAGUGGGGUUAGAAGGUCCUGGCUCCCCUUCUCCCGGCCUUCCUCUGCCUGGGGCCCACUGCAUCUGAUUGGCAGUCACUUCCCAUGAGGGCCUGGCCCACCCGCUGCAGUUGCCCUAAGGAAAAAUAAAGCUGCCUUUCCCCGUCCUGCUGUGGCCAAAGUGUCCUUGCUCCAGGUUCCUGCCCUGGGCUUGGGCAUUUGUCUCGGCUGCUCACAAGACCUUCUUUUCGGGAGACA
Molecule: small RNA, 498 nt
Filed under: Pongo abelii (Sumatran orangutan)
Lineage: Eukaryota; Metazoa; Chordata; Mammalia; Primates; Hominidae
Description: processed transcript
Source: RNAcentral